This 406-nucleotide ribosomal RNA is filed under the name uncultured bacterium. Its description in RNAcentral is "partial 16S ribosomal RNA". It matches the Rfam family "Bacterial small subunit ribosomal RNA", at positions 28 to 526 of the family's 1533-position model. The record is from RNAcentral.
GAUGAACGCUAGCUACAGGCUUAACACAUGCAAGUCGAGCGACCGGCGCACGGGUGAGUAACACGUAUCCAACCUGCCCUUUACUCGGGGAUAGCCUUUCGAAAGAAAGAUUACUACCUGAUAUAAAGGAUGGGGAUGCGUUCCAUUAGGUUGUUGGUGAGGUAACGGCCCACCAAGCCUUCGAUGGAUAGGGGUUCUGAGAGGAAGGUCCCCCACAUUGGAACUGAGGCACGGUCCAAACUCCUACGCGAGGCUGGAGUGUGGAAUAUAGGUCAAUAGGCGUUAGCCUGAACCAGCCAAGUAGCGUGAAGGAUGAAGGCUUAUGAGUCGUAAACUUCUUUUAUAUAAGAAUAUGUAUUAUAUGAAUAAGGAUCGGCUAACUCCGUGCCAGCAGCCGCGGUAAUUC